RNAcentral lists this ribosomal RNA (301 nucleotides) under uncultured bacterium. RNAcentral's name for it is "partial 16S ribosomal RNA". It matches the Rfam family "Bacterial small subunit ribosomal RNA", at positions 509 to 807 of the family's 1533-position model. The record is from RNAcentral.
CAGUCGCCGCGGGAAUACGAAGGGUGCAAGCGUUACUCGGAAUUACUGGGCGUAAAGCGUGCGUAGGUGGUGGUUUAAGUCCGUUGUGAAAGCCCUGGGCUCAACCUGGGAAUUGCAGUGGAUACUGGGUCACUAGAGUGUGGUAGAGGAUAGUGGAAUUUCCGGUGUAGCAGUGAAAUGCGUAGAGAUCGGAAGGAACAUCAGUGGCGAAGGCGGCCAUCUGGGACAACACUGACGCUGAGGCACGAAAGCGUGGGGAGCAAACAGGAUUAGAUACCCGCGUAGUCCCUGUCUCUUAUAC